UGAAUUCAAGCGAGGGUGUCUGGAACAGAGUGGAGUGUCUUCAGAGACAGUGGUGAACAGAGGUACUACCUAAUGAUAGACGGCGCUGGCUGACUCCCAACAGGUAGAAAGAUGGCUCUGCUGAGAUGAGCUCUUAAUUAAUGCACUGAGAGCCUGCGAGUCCCACCUCUCAACAGGAAUGAUUGACGUCCAAGGAUACAUAAAUUACACUAAUUGAGCUCUGCCUCCAUGUAGGCUUUCUACAGCCAACUCAUCAGAGAAGCUAGGAUUGUGUACAACCAAUAUCUUCAUUUGACAACCCUAAUGAGCAAGCUGCUACAAAAUUGAAAGAGAGCACACCUUUUGGAUUUCCCACUCUUCUAAGACAACGUGGUUGGAAACUUGAGUGCAAGCAAGGGAACAAAGGACCCCUUUAAAGAAGAAGCAAAGGUAGAGUUCAUGGACUUUAAGGAAAAUUGGAGAUCUUGGUGGUUUUCAUGACUCAAGACAAAGAAUGAAGAGCAGGGAGGCAGAAGGUGGUUUAAUAUUGAAGGUUCAAUAUUGGGUGCUAGAAUGCCAGUGUCAAGGGUAAAAAGUUAUAGGAAGUGACAACUUGAGCAGCAAAAUAAGAGAGCAAGAGCAAUGAUUUGUGAACAUUGAUGUGUUGGAGACAUUCAGCUGAAAAAUUCAACCAAGGUUAUAGUGGGAAGUGGACUUUAAUACAUAAUUCAAAAACCACCUUAACUUACUGCAGUUUUAAAUGAGAUGUUGAAAUGACUGUCCACUAAUAGUGCAAAGUGACUCUUCCUCAGUCAUUUCUCAGGCCAGCAGGUGUUGCCCAAGCAGGGAGAUUUUGUUCUGUUGUCUGAGAGCUUUCAGUCAAUCUGAUUGCAUUUGACCAGGGAAUCAUCAGUAAAGAUGUCACUUCCACCUUUUGCCCUCAGGCAUAGUCAGUGCGUAAAGGAAAAGAAACUCCAGCUGGCCAAACCUCUCCACUGAAGGUCAAGAAUCUUUGGCCCUUUCCUCCCAGGCCUCACCAUCCUUCACUAUUAGCCAAGUAUUGUACCCUUUUAUUUAGGGGUAUCAUUUAUAAAAUUCUUACAUGUAAAAUAUUCAUUUAGCUUAGCAGUGCAGAGAUACUGCAGCAGAAAAUGAGGGGAUCAAAACUUGAACAAUGAGCCUUGGCUGUGUGAGUACCCUACAUUUGUUCUCGGGGUGUAUUGACCUCCCACAUCUUUGUAACCCACAUUUCAAAGCUCUCUAGAAAUAAGGAAA
Molecule: long non-coding RNA, 1254 nt
Organism: Ochotona princeps (American pika)
Lineage: Eukaryota; Metazoa; Chordata; Mammalia; Lagomorpha; Ochotonidae
Exons: 5
Source: RefSeq, a predicted model, not a curated record